This is a small nuclear RNA of Neomonachus schauinslandi (Hawaiian monk seal), 135 nucleotides long. RefSeq annotates it as U4 spliceosomal RNA. The record is from RefSeq and is a predicted model, not a curated record. The transcript has a single exon. NCBI's taxonomy places the organism in Eukaryota, Metazoa, Chordata, Mammalia, Carnivora, Phocidae.
AGCUUUGCGCAGUGGCAGUAUCGUAGCCAAUGAGGUUUAUCUGAGGCGCGAUUAUUGCUAAUUGAAAACUUUUCCCAAAUUCUCCAUCAGGCAUGUUACAUAUAUAUGUAUGUAUAUAUAUAAUAUAUAUAAUAU